GUCGCCGAGCAUGGAUCUGGUGCGCGGUUUUAUAGGCUCGUGACUAGAUUACAUGCUCGUCUACG
This is a non-coding RNA of Phlebotomus papatasi, 65 nucleotides long. NCBI's taxonomy places the organism in Eukaryota, Metazoa, Arthropoda, Insecta, Diptera, Psychodidae. The record is from Rfam.